UGGGUAUGUUAAUAGCAUACUCAUUUGACGUUAGCUGCAGAAGAAGCACCGGCUAACUCCGUGCCAGCAGCCGCGGUAAUACGGAGGGUGCGAGCGUUAAUCGGAAUUACUGGGCGUAAAGCGCAUGCAGGUGGUUUGUUAAGUCAGAUGUGAAAGCCCGGGGCUCAACCUCGGAAUUGCAUUUUGAAACUGGCAAACUAGAGUACUGUAGAGGGGGUAGAAUUUCAGGUGUAGCGGUGAAAUGCGUAGAGAUCUGAAGGAAUACCGGUGGCGAAGGCGGCCCCCCUGGACAGAUACUGACACUCAGAUGCGAAAGCGUGGGGAGCAAACAGGAUUAGAUACCCCUGGUAG
Molecule: ribosomal RNA, 351 nt
Filed under: uncultured bacterium
Lineage: Bacteria
Description: bacterial SSU rRNA
Rfam family: Bacterial small subunit ribosomal RNA
Source: RNAcentral